UACAGAGGGUGCGAGCGUUAAUCGGAAUUACUGGGCGUAAAGGGCGCGUAGGCGGAUGAUUAAGUUAGAUGUGAAAUAUCUGGGCUCAACCUGGAGACUGCAUUUAAGACUGGUUAUCUAGAGUAGAGUAGAGGGAAGUGGAAUUUCCGGUGUAGCGGUGAAAUGCGUAGAUAUCGGAAAGAACACCAGUGGCGAAGGCGAGUCUCUGGACAACUCCUGACACUCAUGCUCGAAA
This 235-nucleotide ribosomal RNA is filed under the name uncultured prokaryote. Its description in RNAcentral is "partial 16S ribosomal RNA". It matches the Rfam family "Bacterial small subunit ribosomal RNA", at positions 524 to 758 of the family's 1533-position model. The record is from RNAcentral.